This is a non-coding RNA of Nylanderia fulva, 965 nucleotides long. The record is from RefSeq and is a predicted model, not a curated record. NCBI's taxonomy places the organism in Eukaryota, Metazoa, Arthropoda, Insecta, Hymenoptera, Formicidae.
GAACACAAUUUAUGUUUAUAGAUCCGUUUUUCAACACCGCACAUGAUGUCGCAAACUACCUUCGUCAGCAGUUCACGUUCUAAAUACACUUUCGAAGCGAUACAAGAUGGGAAACUGAAAAUAUCUACUUGAAAAGAUCGUUGAGACUCGGGGGAGUGUAAGCUACUAUAAAAGGAAAGGAGGUCAAGCAUCGCCGAUCCACGAUGUAAUACUCACGGUAUAGAUGUCGUCGAGGACACCCGUGGCCGCCACCACCCAGCCGGUGUUUAGGUUGCUGCUGUAGUACUCGAUAUUGUAGCCGAUGAUCUUGCUCUGACCCUCUUGGCCCGGGCUCCAGGUCAGAGUGAUCGAGUUACUGGUGGCGUUCACUAUUCGCGGCUUGCUCGGGUUCUGCGGCAGCGCCGACACGUCGGGCGUGCGAUGAAAACUGGCGCCGGAACUCACCGUCAGCAGGUAGGCCGACCACGAGGUGUUGCCGGAUUCGGACGAGGCGAUGCAGGUGUACAGCCCGGAAUCGUUGGUGUGCAGAUCGUCGAUGAACAACGUGCCGUUGAUGGCCAUCGUGAUCCGGCCGCCUUGACGUACGAGCACACCCUCCUUGUGCCAGUGAACCCUCGGCGUGGGUGUACCAACCGCGCGACAGGGCAACGAGGCGACGCUCUUCAACGGCAGGGUUUGAUUCGCCGGACCCAGCUCGAUUAUAGGCGGCGGUGUCUCUUCGGCGGACGUCACCUUUAUUACAACAGAUGUAGGGAACUGUGUAUUGGAAGAUGCGAAGAGACGAGAAUUCGAAAUAGGGAGGAAGUUACAAUCGUCCCGGUGUCCCUAUUCUGACGAGUCUGCUAUUCACUCCGAGGAAGCAUUUAACUACUUCUCCGUAAUCAAGAGUCAUCACGAUUCGCAGAAGAGAGAGAGGGAGAGGAAGAACGCGAGGAGCAUUUUAUAUCGUUCUAUGUGAUUUCUAU